AAAUCCCGGGCAGGUGUGUAGCAGAGACAGAGGUGCAGGCCCAGCUUGUGGCUGAUCAGCAGGAAUCCAAGGGGGUGGCAAGGUGAUUUCUGUGAACCAGCAGUGCUGCAGACUCUCGUGCAAGAACUCCAGCCCUGCCAGCCCUGCGCCUUUCCCUGCUGCCUGCGGGAUGGACCUUCGACCGCCUUCCCUGGGGCACCGCCUGAUCCAGGCCUGGACACGGCCACAGGGCUCCCUGGCCCCUCCCGGCUGACCAGGCCCCAAGCACCCAGGACAGUGAGCAGUUUGGAGACCAGAGCCUGGCGUGCUCACCCCUCAGGGCCAUCAGCACACAAGGGGCCCACACCCACGCUCCAGGGGAUGAAAGGGCCAGCUAGAAAGGGCCCCAAAUGUGAAAGGCUGUUCCAGGAAAACCUGGGGAAAUAUUCCUAACUUCUCUCACAAUCAAACAAAUGAAAAUCAAUACAACUGCACAAUGCCAUCUCCACCCUACACCCAGAAGAAUCGAGAAAAUGGAGCAAAUGCUAGGUGUGUCGCCAGGUGUGCCGGUGGCCUCUGGGCCUGGGGCCGUGCAAGGAACUGGUGACCCCAGUGCAGGACACCUGAGAAGAGCAUCCCUUCUCCCACGGGAGUGUCUGGAGUCCAGAGGGGUACAUGCAUGAAGACCUGCAUGGAAACUACACCGAAACCUGCUCAGUGGAGCCGCCUUUGGCCUGAGAACAGGUGGGGAAGAGUAUUUGGAUCUCAUUUCGUACUCUUAAAAUGUCAUCAGGAAACAUCUGGAUGGAAGGGUUUGUGGUAAAUUUGAUUUCCUUCUUUA
Molecule: non-coding RNA, 820 nt
Organism: Heterocephalus glaber (naked mole-rat)
Lineage: Eukaryota; Metazoa; Chordata; Mammalia; Rodentia; Bathyergidae
Source: RefSeq, a predicted model, not a curated record